UACGUAGGGGGCGAGCGUUGUCCGGAUUUAUUGGGCGUAAAGAGCUCGUAGGCGGUUGGGUAAGUCGGGUGUGAAAACUCAGGGCUCAACUCUGAGACGCCACUCGAUACUGCCCUGACUCGAGUCCGGUAGGGGAGCGUGGAAUUCCCGGUGUAGCGGUGAAAUGCGCAGAUAUCGGGAGGGACACCAGUAGCGAAGGCGGCACCCUGGGCCGGUACUGACGCUGAGGAGCGAAAGCGUGGGGAGCAAACAGG
This 254-nucleotide ribosomal RNA is filed under the name uncultured bacterium. RNAcentral's name for it is "partial 16S ribosomal RNA". It matches the Rfam family "Bacterial small subunit ribosomal RNA", at positions 524 to 776 of the family's 1533-position model. The record is from RNAcentral.